UGGGGAAUAUUGGACAAUGGGCGAAAGCCUGAUCCAGCCAUGCCGCGUGUGUGAAGAAGGUCUUCGGAUUGUAAAGCACUUUAAGUUGGGAGGAAGGGCAGUAAAUUAAUACUUUGCUGUUUUGACGUUACCGACAGAAUAAGCACCGGCUAACUCUGUGCCAGCAGCCGCGGUAAUACAGAGGGUGCAAGCGUUAAUCGGAAUUACUGGGCGUAAAGCGCGCGUAGGUGGUUCGUUAAGUUGGAUGUGAAAUCCCCGGGCUCAACCUGGGAACUGCAUUCAAAACUGACGAGCUAGAGUAUGGUAGAGGGUGGUGGAAUUUCCUGUGUAGCGGUGAAAUGCGUAGAUAUAGGAAGGAACACCAGUGGCGAAGGCGACCACCUGGACUGAUACUGACACUGAGGUGCGAAAGCGUGGGGAGCAAACAGGAUUAGAUACCCGAGUAGUCCCUGAGCGGGCUGGCAAGGCGCAU
RNAcentral lists this ribosomal RNA (472 nucleotides) under uncultured bacterium. RNAcentral's name for it is "bacterial SSU rRNA". It matches the Rfam family "Bacterial small subunit ribosomal RNA", at positions 355 to 825 of the family's 1533-position model. The record is from RNAcentral.